Molecule: non-coding RNA, 327 nt
Organism: Doryrhamphus excisus (bluestripe pipefish)
Lineage: Eukaryota; Metazoa; Chordata; Actinopteri; Syngnathiformes; Syngnathidae
Source: RefSeq, a predicted model, not a curated record
GGUGACUCCCUUGGGAAGCGUGCACAGAAGUUAGGGAUCAGAUGCCUUGACGGAGCCAAGUGGAGGUGGAGACCAUGGAGUCUUUUCAUGAGACACCAGGAACCUUGAGAUGAGCUCCAACGAACAUUGAAACUCCAGCAAACAUUCCCAGCGAACGCCUUCCUCAUUAUGUAUUUAGAGUGCCAGGACUUUCAUUACAACAUGGCCGGAGGCAAGGCACAAGAUGAUUCCGCGUGGAGAUGAAGAAGGCUACGGCAGGAGUGGUGGACAUCGCCGAGAGCCGCUUCACUGACGCUUUUUAAAAGUCACAGUUGCCCACAUCGGUGA